Molecule: transfer RNA, 64 nt
Filed under: Ammophila sabulosa
Lineage: Eukaryota; Metazoa; Arthropoda; Insecta; Hymenoptera; Sphecidae
Also listed under: 1 other name
Description: tRNA-Thr
Source: RNAcentral
AGCUAAUUAGUUUAAAAUAUAAAACAUUAAUUUUGUAAAUUAAAAAUCUUUUUAAGACUAGCUU